RNAcentral lists this transfer RNA (76 nucleotides) under Rickettsiales bacterium. RNAcentral describes it as "tRNA-Ala". It matches the Rfam family "tRNA". From Rfam's summary of the family: Transfer RNA (tRNA) molecules are approximately 80 nucleotides in length. Lineage: Bacteria; Pseudomonadati; Pseudomonadota; Alphaproteobacteria; Rickettsiales. The record is from RNAcentral.
GGGGCUGUAGUUCAGUUGGUAGAAUGCUUGCAUGGCAUGCAAGAGGUCGAGAGUUCGAGUCUCUUCAGCUCCACCA